RNAcentral lists this unclassified non-coding RNA (297 nucleotides) under fungal sp. RNAcentral's name for it is "partial internal transcribed spacer region". The stretch from base 1 to 46 matches the Rfam family "Eukaryotic small subunit ribosomal RNA", at positions 1786 to 1831 of the family's 1831-position model. The record is from RNAcentral. Lineage: Eukaryota; Fungi.
AAGUCGUAACAAGGUUUCCGUAGGUGAACCUGCGGAAGGAUCAUUACCAAAAGAGAAAAACAAUUUUUGAAAGAGGGAGGGGGAGGUUCGGUGGAGGGAUAUUAGCCUUUGGGUUUUUUCCUUUCCCUUAUCUUUCACUCUUUCUUUCAUCACACACCUUGUGAACCUAACCGUUUGUCCUUGGGGACGCCUUGCCCCAACAAUAUUAUUGAAACACCUUCAAACAUGAACCAUUGAUGGAAACUUUUUUGAUUAAAUAAUCGAGAACAACUUUUAACGGUGGAUCUCUUGGCUCGU